GUCCUGCAAACAUGGGUUUAAGUCCUGUUUCUAUCA
Molecule: transfer RNA, 36 nt
Filed under: Bavayia crassicollis
Lineage: Eukaryota; Metazoa; Chordata; Lepidosauria; Squamata; Diplodactylidae
Description: partial tRNA-Tyr
Source: RNAcentral